CAGAGACAUAAAAGGCUGAUUCAAGUUUUUGGCAAACUGUGACUUAGUAGCUAUAAUUCAAUAAUAAGGCUAAAUUGUGGGUGAAAGUCUCCUGAAAACUUGGGCUGACUUUCCAGGAGCUACACCAGGCUCUUACUUCAGUGGCUCCGAGCUGAUAUAACUGGGACACAGGCAAUAAUCUUCUUAAAACCCCUUAAUCUGGUAAGUUUUCUACAGGGUGAUCAUAUUUGAACACAGACUGGAUGAGCAGCUCGCUUAUAUUACUUUGAUAAAAAGCAACUAAAAUAAUGUGCACCGUCUUUAAUUUUGCAGGACAACUUCUAAAUUAUUUGGGAAAACAAAGUGGAAUUGAAAAACAAAACAGCUUUCACCGCUGACCUGGUUCAAAGUCGCGUACUUCAUGCUCUUUCACGGCAGAUGGAGCCAGCUGCCACCAGAGCACCAGGGUUGCCACAAGUGGCCAGGGCCGCGCUGCCCGUCAGCUGGGCCCUGCUGCAGCCACCAUCAUGCGCGGUCCUCGCAGUCCUUCCUGUUCCUACCAGUAAACCCAGGGCUGGCUUCAGCCUGCCCCGGCCACAGCGAGGUGUUGCAGAAGAAGCCUGUGGACAGGCCAUCUCCUGGGAGCUCGCCACAGACCACUGAAGAGAGCCUCCCGCUGUGUGGUGCCCGGAUUAAAAGGAUGGAGAGCCUGGGGGCUGACCAGGCCGGAUCAUCCGGGGACAGUCAGCCCAGGAGGGAGGAGGAGGCAUUAUUAAGUCCAUCUCCGUGCGGGAGCCAUAGCUGGCCCCCCGCUCUUUCAUCUAUGUGGCCCAUAAACUCCUUUUGAGUGAGACAGUUGAACAAUUCCCCGCAGUCUGCAGUCCAAGAGUGCUGCCCAGUACAGCCGUCACAGUGGGGAAGGCCAGCCUCGUGGCAGAAGCCGAUCACGUAGCGAACUCACCUGGAGAUUGACACGAGGGCCCUGGAGAAGGAUUUCAGUUAAAUAAAUCAACCUCGUCAGCAGGAUCCCAUUUCCUCCGCCUUUUUUUUUUUCUGUGACAUAU
RNAcentral lists this long non-coding RNA (1043 nucleotides) under Ictidomys tridecemlineatus (thirteen-lined ground squirrel). RNAcentral describes it as "lncRNA (ENSSTOG00000029799.1)". The record is from RNAcentral. Lineage: Eukaryota; Metazoa; Chordata; Mammalia; Rodentia; Sciuridae.